UACGAAGGGUGCAAGCGUUACUCGGAAUUACUGGGCGUAAAGCGUGCGUAGGUGGUUCGUUAAGUCUGAUGUGAAAGCCCUGGGCUCAACCUGGGAAUGGCAUUGGAAACUGGCGACCUAGAGUGCGGUAGAGGGUAGUGGAAUUCCCGGUGUAGCAGUGAAAUGCAUAGAGAUCGGGAGGAACAUCUGUGGCGAAGGCGACUGCCUGGACCAGCACUGACACUGAGGCACGAAAGCGUGGGGAGCAAACAGG
RNAcentral lists this ribosomal RNA (253 nucleotides) under uncultured bacterium. RNAcentral describes it as "partial 16S ribosomal RNA". It matches the Rfam family "Bacterial small subunit ribosomal RNA", at positions 524 to 776 of the family's 1533-position model. The record is from RNAcentral.